AUUGAGAUUAAAAAUUAGAACUCU
This 24-nucleotide non-coding RNA is filed under the name Cricetulus griseus (Chinese hamster). Lineage: Eukaryota; Metazoa; Chordata; Mammalia; Rodentia; Cricetidae. The record is from RNAcentral.